GACGAACGCUGGCGGCGUGCUUAACACAUGCAAGUCGAACGGAAAGGCCCUGCUUUUGUGGGGUGCUCGAGUGGCGAACGGGUGAGUAACACGUGAGUAACCUGCCCUUGACUUUGGGGUAACUUCAGGAAACUGGGGCUAAUACCGGAUAGGAGCUCCUGCUGCAUGGUGGGGGUUGGAAAGUUUCGGCGGUUGGGGAUGGACUCGCGGCUUAUCAGCUUGUUGGUGGGGUAGUGGCUUACCAAGGCUUUGAAGGGUAGCCGACCUGAGAGGGUGACCGGCCACAUUGGGACUGAGAGACGGCCCAGACUCCGACGGGCGGCAGCAGUGGGGAAUAUUGCACAAUGGGCGGACGCCUGAGGCAGCAACGCCGCGUUCGUGAUGACGGCCUUCGGGUUGUAAACCGCUUUCGCCUGUGACGAAGCGUGAGUGACGGUAAUGGGUAAAGAAGCACCGGCUAACUACGUG
This 468-nucleotide ribosomal RNA is filed under the name uncultured bacterium. Its description in RNAcentral is "partial 16S ribosomal RNA". It matches the Rfam family "Bacterial small subunit ribosomal RNA", at positions 28 to 507 of the family's 1533-position model. The record is from RNAcentral.